This 690-nucleotide ribosomal RNA is filed under the name uncultured marine eukaryote. RNAcentral's name for it is "SSU rRNA". It matches the Rfam family "Eukaryotic small subunit ribosomal RNA", at positions 616 to 1317 of the family's 1831-position model. The record is from RNAcentral.
CGGUUAAAAAGCUCGUAGUCGGAUGUCGGGCUCGGGCAAGCUGUCGGCCUUUGGUCGGACGGCAGGCUCGGGUCUUUCUGCCUGAGGAACCCGGUUGCUUUAACGAGCUGCCGGUGGACGCAGGUCGUUUACUUUGAAAAAAUUAGAGUGUUCAAAGCAGGCUAGCGCUUGAAUACAUUAGCAUGGAAUAAUGGAAUAGGACUUUGGUGCUAUUUUGUUGGUUUAUGGGACCGAAGUAAUGAUUAACAGGGACAGUUGGGGCCGUUUAUAUUUCGUUGUCAGAGGUGAAAUUCUUGGAUUUACGAAAGAUAAACUUCUGCGAAAGCAUUCGGCAAGGAUGUUUUCAUUGAUCGAGAACGAAAGUUGGGGGAUCGAAGACGAUCAGAUACCGUCGUAGUCUUAACCAUAAACUAUGCCGACUAGGGAUCAGUGGAUGUCAAUUUGCGACUCCAUUGGCACCUUGUGAGAAAUCAAAGUUUUUGGGUUCCGGGGGGAGUAUGGUCGCAAGGCUGAAACUUAAAGGAAUUGACGGAAGGGCACCACCAGGAGUGGAGCCUGCGGCUUAAUUUGACUCAACACGGGGAGACUUACCAGGUCCAGACAUAGUAAGGAUUGACAGAUUGAAAGCUCUUUCUUGAUCCUAUGGGUGGUGGUGCAUGGCCGUUCUUAGUCGGUGGAGUGAUUUGUCUG